Molecule: transfer RNA, 72 nt
Organism: Camelus ferus (Wild Bactrian camel)
Lineage: Eukaryota; Metazoa; Chordata; Mammalia; Artiodactyla; Camelidae
Rfam family: tRNA
About the family: Transfer RNA (tRNA) molecules are approximately 80 nucleotides in length. Their secondary structure includes four short double-helical elements and three loops (D, anti-codon, and T loops).
Source: Rfam
GUAGGUACAGCUCAGUGGUAGAGAGAGUGCUUAGCAUGUAUGAGGUUCUGGGUUCAACCCCCAGUACCUCCA